GCUGAGUUGGAAGAAAAGAUGAGGAAUUUCUAAGAAGUGUCUCAAGGCUUAAAGGAGGAAAUAAAGAAAACUUUUUUGGAACUCAAUUCUUUCAGGAAAGAAUUUCGAGCCUUCAUGAAUAUUAUGAUGAAAGUUAAAGGUCAAGAAGUCUAUAGCAAUGAGGAUGAAUUGGCCAUAUCCAAGAACAAGGCUUCUGAGAACAGACGACAGUUGCCUACUCCCAGAGACUUCUU
Molecule: unclassified non-coding RNA, 233 nt
Filed under: Hevea brasiliensis (rubber tree)
Lineage: Eukaryota; Viridiplantae; Streptophyta; Magnoliopsida; Malpighiales; Euphorbiaceae
Source: RNAcentral